This 482-nucleotide ribosomal RNA is filed under the name uncultured bacterium. RNAcentral's name for it is "partial 16S ribosomal RNA". It matches the Rfam family "Bacterial small subunit ribosomal RNA", at positions 30 to 507 of the family's 1533-position model. The record is from RNAcentral.
AUUGAACGCUGGCGGCAUGCCUUACACAUGCAAGUCGAACGGUAACGGGCCUUCGGGUGCCGACGAGUGGCGAACGGGUGAGUAAUACAUCGGAACGUGCCCGAUCGUGGGGGAUAACGAGGCGAAAGCUUUGCUAAUACCGCAUACGAUCUACGGAUGAAAGCAGGGGACCGCAAGGCCUUGCGCGGACGGGGCGGCCGAUGGCAGAUUAGGUAGUUGGUGGGAUAAAAGCUUACCAAGCCGACGAUCUGUAGCUGGUCUGAGAGGAUGAUCAGCCACACUGGGACUGAGACACGGCCCAGACUCCUACAGGAGGCAGCAGUGGGGAAUUUUGGACAAUGGGCGCAAGCCUGAUCCAGCCAUGCCGCGUGCAGGAUGAAGGCCUUCGGGUUGUAAACUGCUUUUGUACGGAACGAAAAGCCUUCUUUUAAUACAGGAGGGUCAUGACGGUACCGUAAGAAUAAGCACCGGCUAACUACGUG